Topomyia yanbarensis is the source of this 967-nucleotide long non-coding RNA. RefSeq lists it as uncharacterized. The transcript has 4 exons. NCBI's taxonomy places the organism in Eukaryota, Metazoa, Arthropoda, Insecta, Diptera, Culicidae. The record is from RefSeq and is a predicted model, not a curated record.
UUGUUCGAAUGAAUGGCAGUUGGAAGUGGACGAAUUAUUCUGUAAACAAUGUAAACAUUGUUUACACAGAGCCAUCCGGAUGCGACCGAAGUGGAAGAACGCUAAGUAACAAUUUUUCGACGAAUGACGUUAGCGACAUAUUUGAACGGAUUGGAUCCGUGUAUCUUGUGCCACACUGAUGGAAUACUUGUCGACAAUGAAGAUGAUCCGCUGUUUGUAGUGUAUUCUGCAGAAACUCUUGAGUGAAGUGAGAUUAUUGAGUAGCAGUUGCGAGCUACCUGGCGGUAGCAAAAAAGCAUGCACCUUCAGCACUGAUGAAAGGGCAAGCGGAUGCCGUCCAUCCCUUUUGAACAGAUCCAACCUAUCAGAAAUGCGAAACAUUGCCCUGUAAUGCAUAAAAAUUCAUCUGUUAACUCAAUUUCACACAGAGAGUGUCUCGCAUACGAUCAGUUCGCUGGGUUCUUAUUUUGCGAGACGGGUUAUAAAAGUAACCGGUUUUGAGAAAUACUCCACGUACACCUCGGCCGUUAGUGCAAAUGGACAUACCAGAGUCGCAGAUUUGCGAGAAGGCACUGGCUAAGGACUUUGACUUGACAUGUCUAACAUUCGUGCCAUAAGUAUUUGGAUGUCAUGUGUACGAAUUUCUUCCAGCCAAUUCAUCGAAGCAUUGGUACAUUUACAUCUGCUGAUCGGAAUCGAAGCGGUGGUUCUCUAUUUCAACAUCUUUAGGUUUUCGGAUGGCAUUCAUAGCAACAAAACUACAAACAGGUAAAACACCGUCUUGUUCGUAGACUGUUGGAGUCAAUCUACCAGCUACUGCCGAAAAAAGCAACCUAGUAAAUAUUUAAGGCGAUUCGAGCUAUUGGACAUUUCGCUUAAAAUGUUACUGCAGAACUCACUACACUGCUUAAGUGAAAUAUACAGUGAUGGUGAGUGUUCUCAUAGAUUUUUGGUUCAAGGACAUUAA